GACGAACGCUGGCGGCGUGCUUAACACAUGCAAGUCGAACGGAAAGGCCCCCUUGUGGGGUACUCGAGUGGCGAGCGGGUGAGUAACACGUGAGUAACCUACCCUUGACUUUGGGAUAACUUCAGGAAACUGGGGCUAAUACCGGAUAGGAGCUCCUGCUGCAUGGUGGGGGUUGGAAAGUUUCGGCGGUUGGGGAUGGACUCGCGGCUUAUCAGCUUGUUGGUGGGGUAGUGGCUCACCAAGGCUUUGACGGGUAGCCGGCCUGAGAGGGUGACCGGCCACAUUGGGACUGAGAUACGGCCCAGACUCCUACGGGAGGCAGCAGUGGGGAAUAUUGCACAAUGGGCGGAAGCCUGAUGCAGCAACGCCGCGUGCGGGAUGACGGCCUUCGGGUUGUAAACCGCUUUCGCCUGUGACGAAGCGUGAGUGACGGUAAUGGGUAAAGAAGCACCGGCUAACUACGUG
This 465-nucleotide ribosomal RNA is filed under the name uncultured bacterium. RNAcentral's name for it is "partial 16S ribosomal RNA". It matches the Rfam family "Bacterial small subunit ribosomal RNA", at positions 28 to 507 of the family's 1533-position model. The record is from RNAcentral.